CAUGGCUGCUACUAGUGGUGCUGUGCUAAAUGGAUUGGCAUCUUCCUUCUUGUGUGGAGGGAGGAGAACUCAGGCCUUGUUGGGUUUUGGAGGAAAUAGAUUGGCAAGUGGUGCAGUUGUUGGUUCAAGGAAGUUGUUAGUUAUGGCUGCUGCUGCUGCUGCUAAACCAAAGAAGUCUUGGAUCCCUGCUGUUAAACGUGGUGGCAACUUCAUUGAUCCUGAGUGGCUCGAUGGCUCGUAAGUAAUCUCUUUUGUAUUUCUUAACUAGCUGAUCUGAUUUUAUCAAUUAUCUAAUUAUUUUUGAACGUGAAUGAAUAUCAUUGAAUCAACGUACUCAAGAGAAAUCUAGAUUAGCUUUAUUGCUAUAUUUGCAGGUGAAGAUCAUGGCUAUUGGAAUAUACUUUUUAAUCUUUUUCUUUGUGUCCGAUUUUUCACUUGUGUCAAAAGAUAAUUCAGCAGCGAUUUAACCCAAAAGUGCAGGCUCCCAGGUGACUAUGGAUUCGACCCA
Molecule: unclassified non-coding RNA, 508 nt
Filed under: Hevea brasiliensis (rubber tree)
Lineage: Eukaryota; Viridiplantae; Streptophyta; Magnoliopsida; Malpighiales; Euphorbiaceae
Source: RNAcentral